This 295-nucleotide long non-coding RNA is filed under the name Gallus gallus (chicken). The record is from RNAcentral. Lineage: Eukaryota; Metazoa; Chordata; Aves; Galliformes; Phasianidae.
UGGCGUUUUGUUGAUUUCAUUUCUCUGUUAUUGUGCCUACUGUAUUUAAACAGAGUUUUUCCCUUCAUGUGUGGAUUUUUGGGAGAGUCCUCUAUUCAAAGUAUUGAAGAAGUUUCUUCAAGGAAAGACAACUUCUGAGGACGCUGAUGAUUUCUUAAGUAUGGUCAUCUCUGUCAGGAAUUUGUUAACGUAUUGAUAAAUAACCAGGGAGACUCCAUAAAGCAGGAAAAGUUCUUACAUGUAGCUGGUUUUAACCCAUCACAGGAAACAAGAAUGGCUAAGGAGGUAAGGAAAG